Molecule: ribosomal RNA, 124 nt
Filed under: Culicoides imicola
Lineage: Eukaryota; Metazoa; Arthropoda; Insecta; Diptera; Ceratopogonidae
Description: 5.8S ribosomal RNA
Rfam family: 5.8S ribosomal RNA (bases 62-124)
About the family: 5.8S ribosomal RNA (5.8S rRNA) is a component of the large subunit of the eukaryotic ribosome. It is transcribed by RNA polymerase I as part of the 45S precursor that also contains 18S and 28S rRNA. Functionally, it is thought that 5.8S rRNA may be involved in ribosome translocation.
Source: RNAcentral
UUAUCAAGAUACUUUGGAGUGAGUACUAAUGUACAAAAAAAAAAUAUAAAAAAAAGAUCAAAACCUUAAACGGGGGAUCACUUGGCUCAUGGGUCGAUGAAGACCGCAGCAAACUGCGUGUCAC